GUCCCCUUAGUUAAAUGGAUAUAACAAGCCCCUCCUAAGGGCUAAUUGCAGGUUCGAUCCCUGCAGGGGACGCCA
RNAcentral lists this transfer RNA (75 nucleotides) under Photorhabdus temperata subsp. temperata. Its description in RNAcentral is "tRNA-Arg". It matches the Rfam family "tRNA". Rfam says of the family: Transfer RNA (tRNA) molecules are approximately 80 nucleotides in length. Lineage: Bacteria; Pseudomonadati; Pseudomonadota; Gammaproteobacteria; Enterobacterales; Morganellaceae. RNAcentral also lists the same sequence under 9 other names. The record is from RNAcentral.